RNAcentral lists this long non-coding RNA (339 nucleotides) under Ananas comosus (pineapple). RNAcentral's name for it is "long non-coding RNA (ACOM_LNC043851)". The record is from RNAcentral. Lineage: Eukaryota; Viridiplantae; Streptophyta; Magnoliopsida; Poales; Bromeliaceae.
CCACCAGCCCCACGAAUGAUCCGUGGCACGCUUCACACCUAGCAAUGCUCAGGUGCUACUGCCAAUACACUCAUCCGGCUGAACUAAAUCCGCACUCCACGAGUAACUAUACUCGAGCGCUAUACGCGCCUCUAUAGCGUUCCAACUAUGUCAAGCAUCAGGCAACUUUGCCUAUGCACACCGGCCACACGAGCACGACUCACCCACCUUAAUUCGAGGUACUACUAGGCCAACGCGCCCGUAUUUGGCAGCCAAUCGCUCUACCGGAGCAACAUCUAGAACACUCAAACCAUUCGAGUGUCCACAAGUGUCAUGACACAACUCUCGCAAUCAAUUACA